RNAcentral lists this ribosomal RNA (368 nucleotides) under uncultured organism. RNAcentral describes it as "bacterial SSU rRNA". It matches the Rfam family "Bacterial small subunit ribosomal RNA", at positions 526 to 896 of the family's 1533-position model. The record is from RNAcentral.
CGGAGGGUGCAAGCGUUAUCCGGAUUCACUGGGUUUAAAGGGUGCGUAGGUGGGUUGGUAAGUCAGUGGUGGAAUCUCCGUGCUUAACAUGGAAACUGCCAUUGAUACUACUAGUCUUGAAUUUUCAGGAGGUAAGCGGAAUAUGUCAUGUAGCGGUGAAAUGCUUAGAUAUGACAUAGAACACCAAUUGCGAAGGCAGCUUGCUACAGGGAUAUUGACACUGAGGCACGAAAGCGUGGGGAUCAAACAGGAUUAGAUACCCUGGUAGUCCACGCCCUAAACGAUGGAUACUCGACAUUUGCGAUACACAGUAAGUGCCUGAGCGAAAGCAUUAAGUAUCCCACCUGGGAAGUACGACCGCAAGGUUG